UAGCCGUAAACGAUACUCGCUAGGUGUCGGCCACGGUGCGACCGUUGUCGGUGCCGUAGGGAAGCCGUGAAGCGAGCCACCUGGGAAGUACGGCCGCAAGGCUGAAACUUAAAGGAAUUGGCGGGGGAGCACAACAACGGGUGGAGCUUGCGGUUUAAUUGGAUUCAACGCCGGAAAUCUUACCGGGACCGACAGCAACAUGAAGGCCGAGCUGAAGACUUUGCCGGAUUAGCUGAGAGGUGGUGCAUGGCGUAGUCGUGU
Molecule: ribosomal RNA, 261 nt
Filed under: uncultured archaeon
Lineage: Archaea
Description: partial 16S ribosomal RNA
Rfam family: Archaeal small subunit ribosomal RNA
Source: RNAcentral